This 1043-nucleotide long non-coding RNA is filed under the name Bos indicus x Bos taurus (hybrid cattle). Its description in RNAcentral is "lncRNA (ENSBIXG00005027116.1)". Lineage: Eukaryota; Metazoa; Chordata; Mammalia; Artiodactyla; Bovidae. The record is from RNAcentral.
GACACACUCUGCUGAACUCACAGGCUCCACCCUCCAGCACAUGCUACAGAGCCCGGCUGAGCUCACCUCCAGGUCCCACAGCCUCUGUAACCUUUCAUGUUUCCAUGCAUACCCUCGUCUCGCACUCUGACACAUCUUUCAGGGAUCCUCGGUCUCUGAUUCUUCUCCCCCUUCCUUUCGCCACAGUGCUCUCACUUCUCACCUUCUGCCCCCGACACCUCCAGCCUCUGUCCAGACCUGCACAGAGCCCUCGGCCCGCUGUACCCCCCUCCUCCUCCUCCCCACUCCUAGCAGUCACCUCUCUCGCCAGAUGCUCUGACCUCUCCCACCCACUCUGCCCCUUCCAUCGUGUGGACGUCCCUUCCCGUGCUCUAUGCGCAAAUACACUCAUCGGUCCUUCCUUUCAGUCACCAUUUCCAUCUCCCUUAGCCCUACUCAGAUGUCUUAAGCUCAGGGACACCAUGCUUGCAAUCUACUCCCAACCAACUGAUAGUAACCACCUCCCCAGUCCCACCCCCAGCCCCCACCGUUCCAGGUGCCUUGUCGGCUACAUCCAUUUGCUCGCUGUCUGCCUGGUCCUGGGUCCUUUUCCUCCAUGUGUGACAGUCUGGACUCUGAUGCUCCCUCAGACCCGCGGGCUCAUCUGCUCACCCUUCUCCACUGCGCCACUGCCUCGAGCAGCACAUCCUGUGCUGGCCUCUUCCCACCUCUCCCACUUCCUCACUCGCCUGACCUGUGCUGUGCUCUUCCUCCUGCAGGGGCUUGCUCAUGCCCUUUGCCCACUUUGAGGGGCAGGUUCUCCACACCCACUGUCUCCUAGCUCCCUGCUGUCCCUCUGGGCACAGUGUGUUCCCGGAUGCUCUCAACACGCCUCCUCUCUUCUACGGGCUGCCGGGCGCCGUCUCCUGCGGUUCCUCAUUCUCUGGCCUAUCGGACAGAGGUGGACCUCUCCUCCACCACCCUCUCUCACUUGUCCGAGGUAGCUCACCUGACCUCCCACAUCCUGGGCCCGGUUUCUAGGUCUCUCCUGGUUUCUCCACGAC